UACGAAGGGGGCGAGCGUUGUUCGGAUUUACUGGGCGUAAAGGGCGCGCAGGCGGUUCUGUUUGUCGAGUGUGAAAGCCCCGGGCUCAACCUGGGAACUGCGCUCGAAACGGCGGAACUAGAGUUCGGGAGAGGAGAGUGGAAUUCCCAGUGUAGAGGUGAAAUUCGUAGAUAUUGGGAAGAACACCGGUGGCGAAGGCGGCUCUCUGGACCGAUACGUGACGCUGAGGCGCGAAAGCGUGGGGAGCAAACAGG
Molecule: ribosomal RNA, 254 nt
Filed under: uncultured bacterium
Lineage: Bacteria
Description: partial 16S ribosomal RNA
Rfam family: Bacterial small subunit ribosomal RNA
Source: RNAcentral